GUGAAAUUCCGUCGGAAUCUGGGAGGACCAUCUCCUAAGGCUAAAUACUCUCUAGUGACCGAUAGUGAACCAGUACCGUGAGGGAAAGGUGAAAAGCACCCCGGAAGGGGAGUGAAAUAGAACCUGAAACCGUGUGCUUACAAGUAGUCAGAGCCCGUUAAUGGGUGAUGGCGUGCCUUUUGUAGAAUGAACCGGCGAGUUACGAUUUGAUGCAAGGUUAAGCAGUAAAUGUGGAGCCGUAGCGAAAGCGAGUCUGAAUAGGGCGUUUAGUAUUUGGUCGUAGACCCGAAACCAGGUGAUCUACCCUUGGUCAGGUUGAAGUUCAGGUAACACUGAAUGGAGGACCGAACCGACUUACGUUGAAAAGUGAGCGGAUGAACUGAGGGUAGCGGAGAAAUUCCAAUCGAACCUGGAGAUAGCUGGUUCUCUCCGAAAUAGCUUUAGGGCUAGCCUCAAGUGAUGAUUAUUGGAGGUAGAGCACUGUUUGGACGAGGGGCCCCUCUCGGGUUACCGAAUUCAGACAAACUCCGAAUGCCAAUUAAUUUAACUUGGGAGUCAGAACAUGGGUGAUAAGGUCCGUGUUCGAAAGGGAAACAGCCCAGACCACCAGCUAAGGUCCCAAAAUAUAUGUUAAGUGGAAAAGGAUGUGGCGUUGCCCAGACAACUAGGAUGUUGGCUUA
Molecule: ribosomal RNA, 680 nt
Filed under: Staphylococcus aureus
Lineage: Bacteria; Bacillati; Bacillota; Bacilli; Caryophanales; Staphylococcaceae
Also listed under: 1 other name
Description: partial 23S ribosomal RNA
Rfam family: Bacterial large subunit ribosomal RNA
Source: RNAcentral